Molecule: ribosomal RNA, 478 nt
Filed under: uncultured bacterium
Lineage: Bacteria
Description: partial 16S ribosomal RNA
Rfam family: Bacterial small subunit ribosomal RNA
Source: RNAcentral
GACGAACGCUGGCGGCGUGCUUAACACAUGCAAGUCGAGCGAUGAAGUUCCUUCGGGAACGGAUUAGCGGCGGACGGGUGAGUAACACGUGGGUAACCUGCCUCAUAGAGGGGAAUAGCCUUCCGAAAGGAAGAUUAAUACCGCAUAAGAUUGUAGUAUCGCAUGAUACAGCAAUCAAAGGAGCAAUCCGCUAUGAGAUGGACCCGCGUCGCAUUAGCUAGUUGGUGAGGUAACGGCUCACCAAGGCGACGAUGCGUAGCCGACCUGAGAGGGUGAUCGGCCACAUUGGGACUGAGACACGGCCCAGACUCCUACGGGAGGCAGCAGUGGGGAAUAUUGCACAAUGGAGGAAACCCUGAUGCAGCAACGCCGCGUGAGUGAUGAAGGUCUUCGGAUUGUAAAACUCUGUCUUCAGGGACGAUAAUGACGGUACCUGAGGAGGAAGCCACGGCUAACUACGUGCCAGCAGCCGCCGUAA